Molecule: long non-coding RNA, 245 nt
Filed under: Elaeis guineensis (African oil palm)
Lineage: Eukaryota; Viridiplantae; Streptophyta; Magnoliopsida; Arecales; Arecaceae
Description: long non-coding RNA (EGUI_LNC073805)
Source: RNAcentral
UGACCAGAACCUCUUUGAAUUGCAACUAAGGUAAUAUAGCAGUCCAGCAAUUUUAAUGCAUCUAGAAAAGAUUCACUUUUAAAAGAACUUCUAAGGAUUUUAUUGCCCAUCUCUGGCAAGUUGCAAGUUAUUUUCCACAUCCACUUUUAUGUACCUUAAACCUUGGCGCUGAUAUUCUAACAAAAUGUUAAAACUAUAGUUAGUAGAGUUUAAGUUCCUACCAUAAAAAGCUUCAUAGAAUACUU